This 116-nucleotide ribosomal RNA is filed under the name Acanthosepion pharaonis. Lineage: Eukaryota; Metazoa; Mollusca; Cephalopoda; Sepiida; Sepiidae. The record is from RNAcentral.
UUACGGUCAAAUCAUGCUGAAAACACCGGUUCUCGUUAGAUCACCGAAGUUAAGCAUCGUAGAGCCAGGUCAAUACUUAGAUGGGGGACCGCUUGGGAACACCUGGUACUGUAAGC